GAGAGCGGGUGUUGGCCGGUGCUGGUCGCCGUCUUCAAAACGGUUGGGCGGGGUGACGAGCUUCGCCGGUGGGUUCGACUCCCACGCGCUCUCGCCA
This 97-nucleotide transfer RNA is filed under the name Chloroflexota bacterium. RNAcentral's name for it is "tRNA-Sec". It matches the Rfam family "Selenocysteine transfer RNA". Lineage: Bacteria; Bacillati; Chloroflexota. The record is from RNAcentral.